Molecule: long non-coding RNA, 320 nt
Organism: Mus caroli (Ryukyu mouse)
Lineage: Eukaryota; Metazoa; Chordata; Mammalia; Rodentia; Muridae
Source: RefSeq, a predicted model, not a curated record
AGAUGAUUGGUUACACAGUAUCUACCCUGUAUGGAGCACUCAGAUCCAAGGCUGUGAGUUGAACACAUGCUUUGUAGAUGUCAGUAUCCCACCUCCUUCCUGCCUGCUAUGCUGCCUACUGAGAAGAAGCCGGUGAUCCUGCAGUGGGAAGGAACACUUAUGGUCAGUAGCUGAACCAAAAGAAGGAAUAUUGAUGCUGGUUGAAUCUACAGAUGUGGAAGUUACAGAUGUGGAAGGCCAGCUGUGCUGUCUUAUAUGGAAUGAGUCUCUGAGACUGGAAUAGGCUUAGAAUCAAAAGCCUGCUACUUCAUGUAGAGAAG